UAGGGAAUCUUCGGCAAUGGGGGGAACCCUGACCGAGCAACGCCGCGUGAGUGAAGAAGGUUUUCGGAUCGUAAAGCUCUGUUGUUAAGGAAGAACGAGUGUGAGAAUGGAAAGUUCAUACUGUGACGGUACUUAACCAGAAAGGGACGGCUAACUACGUGCCAGCAGCCGCGGUAAUACGUAGGUCCCGAGCGUUGUCCGGAUUUAUUGGGCGUAAAGCGAGCGCAGGCGGUUAGAUAAGCCUGAAGUUAAAGGCAGUGGCUCAACCAUUGUAGGCUUUGGAAACUGUUUAACUUGAGUGCAGAAGGGGAGAGUGGAAUUCCAUGUGUAGCGGUGAAAUGCGUAGAUAUAUGGAGGAACACCGGUGGCGAAAGCGGCUCUCUGGUCUGUAACUGACGCUGAGGCUCGAAAGCGUGGGGAGCGAACAGG
Molecule: ribosomal RNA, 429 nt
Filed under: Bacteroidota bacterium
Lineage: Bacteria; Pseudomonadati; Bacteroidota
Description: Bacteroidetes bacterium partial 16S ribosomal RNA
Rfam family: Bacterial small subunit ribosomal RNA
Source: RNAcentral